AGUGAACGCUGGCGGUAGGCCUAACACAUGCAAGUCGAACGGCAGCACAGUAAGAGCUUGCUCUUACGGGUGGCGAGUGGCGGACGGGUGAGGAAUACAUCGGAAUCUACUUUUUCGUGGGGGAUAACGUAGGGAAACUUACGCUAAUACCGCAUACGACCUACGGGUGAAAGCAGGGGAUCUUCGGACCUUGCGCGAUUGAAUGAGCCGAUGUCGGAUUAGCUAGUUGGCGGGGUAAAGGCCCACCAAGGCGACGAUCCGAAGCUGGUCUGAGAGGAUGAUCAGCCACACUGGAACUGAGACACGGUCCAGACUCCUACGGGAGGCAGCAGUGGGGAAUAUUGGACAAUGGGCGCAAGCCUGAUCCAGCCAUACCGCGUGGGUGAAGAAGGCCUUCGGGUUGCAAAGCCCUUUUGUUGGGAAAGAAAAGCAGCAGGUUAAUACCCCGCUGUUCUGACGGUACCCAAAGAAUAAGCACCGGCUAACUUCGUG
This 492-nucleotide ribosomal RNA is filed under the name uncultured bacterium. RNAcentral's name for it is "partial 16S ribosomal RNA". It matches the Rfam family "Bacterial small subunit ribosomal RNA", at positions 29 to 507 of the family's 1533-position model. The record is from RNAcentral.